This 253-nucleotide ribosomal RNA is filed under the name uncultured bacterium. RNAcentral's name for it is "partial 16S ribosomal RNA". It matches the Rfam family "Bacterial small subunit ribosomal RNA", at positions 524 to 776 of the family's 1533-position model. The record is from RNAcentral.
UACGGAGGGUCCAAGCGUUGUCCGGAAUUAUUGGGUUUAAAGGGUGCGUAGGCGGCCAAAUAAGUCAGAGCUGAAAUCCCGAGGCUUAACCUCGGAACUGGCUUUGAUACUGUUUGGCUUGAAUUUACUAGAGGUUGGCGGAAUUUAUGAUGUAGCGGUGAAAUGCAUAGAUAUCAUAAAGAACACCGAUAGCGAAGGCAGCUAACUGGAGUAAUAUUGACGCUGAGGCACGAAAGCGUGGGUAGCGAACGGG